ACCAAUGUUUGGAGACUCAGAGGGACUGGAGACAACGCUCCUUGGACAAGCAGCAGGAGCUCCCAGGGAGACGCCAACUGCUCCAGUGGCUCCUGCACCGUUGGAUAGGAGGGGAUCUCCAUCUGGAGCUGCCGGCAGUGUGGGGACCACUCGUCUCCCAGUGCCCACCAGUACGAAGCUCCCAGAGCCCCCAGUAUGGACCAGCACGGUGUCGGCACCGCUGACAACCCUGCCUGGGCCAAUUUGUGGGAAGCUCAAGGCAGACGUUGGGUUCCUGGUGGAUGAAUCCUCGAGUAUCGGCCAGAGCAACUUCAAUAAAGUGAAGGAUU
Non-coding RNA from Lonchura striata (white-rumped munia), 329 nucleotides. Lineage: Eukaryota; Metazoa; Chordata; Aves; Passeriformes; Estrildidae. The record is from RefSeq and is a predicted model, not a curated record.